CGGCGUUCUCAGGGCGGGGCGAAAUUCCCCACCGGCGGUAUGCGGGCAUGGACCCGUAAGCCCGCGAGCGGCCCCGCAGCGUCCACAAUCCGAAAAGUGGGAACCGGUUUUCGGACAGAUCGUGGAACCACCAAGGGGUGUCAGCAGAUCUGGUGAGAGGCCAGAGCCGACGGUUAUAGUCCGGAUGAAAGAGAAUGCGC
This 200-nucleotide non-coding RNA is filed under the name Ruegeria sp. ANG-S4. RNAcentral describes it as "FMN riboswitch aptamer (RFN element)". It matches the Rfam family "FMN riboswitch aptamer (RFN element)". From Rfam's summary of the family: The RFN element is a highly conserved domain that is found frequently in the 5'-untranslated regions of prokaryotic mRNAs that encode for flavin mononucleotide (FMN) biosynthesis and transport proteins. This element is a metabolite-dependent riboswitch that directly binds FMN in the absence of proteins. The record is from Rfam by way of RNAcentral. RNAcentral also lists the same sequence under 1 other name. Lineage: Bacteria; Pseudomonadati; Pseudomonadota; Alphaproteobacteria; Rhodobacterales; Roseobacteraceae.